UACGUAGGGUGCGAGCGUUGUCCGGAAUUAUUGGGCGUAAAGGGCUCGUAGGCGGUCUGUUGCGUCAGGAGUGAAAACUCGGGGCUUAACCCCGAGCCUGCUUCUGAUACGGGCAGACUAGAGGUAUGCAGGGGAGAACGGAAUUCCUGGUGUAGCGGUGAAAUGCGCAGAUAUCAGGAGGAACACCGGUGGCGAAGGCGGUUCUCUGGACCGGUACUGACGCUGAUGCGCGAAAGCGUGGGGAGCAAACGGG
RNAcentral lists this ribosomal RNA (253 nucleotides) under uncultured bacterium. Its description in RNAcentral is "partial 16S ribosomal RNA". It matches the Rfam family "Bacterial small subunit ribosomal RNA", at positions 524 to 776 of the family's 1533-position model. The record is from RNAcentral.